RNAcentral lists this ribosomal RNA (373 nucleotides) under uncultured bacterium. Its description in RNAcentral is "bacterial SSU rRNA". It matches the Rfam family "Bacterial small subunit ribosomal RNA", at positions 527 to 898 of the family's 1533-position model. The record is from RNAcentral.
GUAGGGGGCGAGCGUUGUCCGGAUUUAUUGGGCGUAAAGAGCGCGUAGGCGGCCAGGUAAGUCCGACGUGAAAUCUGGAGGCUCAACCUCCAGCGGUCGUUGGAAACUACUUGGCUAGAGUCCGGAAGAGGAGAGUGGAAUUCCUGGUGUAGCGGUGAAAUGCGCAGAUAUCAGGAAGAACACCGAUGGCGAAAGCAGCUCUCUGGGACGGUACUGACGCUGAGGCGCGAAAGCGUGGGGAGCGAACAGGAUUAGAUACCCUGGUAGUCCACGCCGUAAACGAUGGGUGCUAGGUGUGGGCGGUGUCGACUCCGCCCGUGCCGAAGCUAACGCAUUAAGCACCCCGCCUGGGGAGUACGGCCGCAAGGCUAAA